Molecule: ribosomal RNA, 802 nt
Filed under: Hexangium sp. KH-2003
Lineage: Eukaryota; Metazoa; Platyhelminthes; Trematoda; Plagiorchiida; Angiodictyidae
Description: eukaryotic LSU rRNA
Rfam family: Eukaryotic large subunit ribosomal RNA
Source: RNAcentral
AGGUUGUCCCGCGGAGACGUUGUCCCACCCCAAGUCCAGCAAUGAGUAUGGUUAUCGUGACUUGGCCCACAGAGGGUGAAAGGCCCGUGGGGGUGGGAUUCAGGCAUGUCAAUGUCUCCCUGAGGCGACCUUGGAGUCGGGUUGUUUGAGAUUGCAGCCCAAAGUGGGUGGUAGACUCCAUCCAAGGCUAAAUACUUACACGAGUCCGAUAGCGAACAAGUACCGUGAGGGAAAGUUGAAAAGUACUUUGAAGAGAGAGUAAACAGUGCGUGAAACCGCUCAGAGGUAAACGGGUGGAGUUGAACUGCAAAUUCUGAGAAUUUAGCUGGUGAGUGUGGUUUGGGCUUGGACAAAUUGAUCGGCUAUCUGGGUCCACUCAACUGUGGGUCCUUGCUCUCGGGCAGGGAUGUGUGCUGCACUGAAAUGUGUUGCGCGCCCGGACUGUGACUCGGAUCGACUUGCCAGUGCACUUUCUCGGAAUGUUCACCACGACUGGCGCUGCCGCCUGUCUGAUAUGGUUAAACCGGUCCGGUAUUGCUUACGUGGCUUUGCUUGGCUGGGACGGCAGGUAACUCGUUGGCUUGUAGGUUGGCUUCGGCUAGCUUGCGUCCGGCUUUCGAGCGUUACAGCUGACCGUAUUGGUACUGUGUGGUGCGUCAGAGAUGGCGGCUUGUUGUGUGUGUUCGUGCCUGUUCUGCUGAUGGGAUCGGGUUUGGUCGCUAUGUUGCCUGUCUCUGGCAGGCCUGGUGAUGGCUCGGUUUCUCUUGGUGGACGGUUGCGUGCAUAUCACUUUACAGGGCCG